RNAcentral lists this transfer RNA (74 nucleotides) under Porphyromonadaceae bacterium. RNAcentral's name for it is "tRNA-Thr". It matches the Rfam family "tRNA". From Rfam's summary of the family: Transfer RNA (tRNA) molecules are approximately 80 nucleotides in length. Their secondary structure includes four short double-helical elements and three loops (D, anti-codon, and T loops). Further hydrogen bonds mediate the characteristic L-shaped molecular structure. tRNAs have two regions of fundamental functional importance: the anti-codon, which is responsible for specific mRNA codon recognition, and the 3' end, to which the tRNAs corresponding amino acid is attached (by aminoacyl-tRNA synthetases). tRNAs cope with the degeneracy of the genetic code in two manners: having more than one tRNA (with a specific anti-codon) for a particular amino acid; and 'wobble' base-pairing, i.e. permitting non-standard base-pairing at the 3rd anti-codon position. Lineage: Bacteria; Pseudomonadati; Bacteroidota; Bacteroidia; Bacteroidales; Porphyromonadaceae. The record is from RNAcentral.
CACAAUAGCUCAGUUGGUAGAGCAAUGCAUUCGUAAUGCGUAGGUCAUCGGUUCGAGUCCGAUCUGUGGCUCAA